RNAcentral lists this non-coding RNA (21 nucleotides) under Rattus norvegicus (Norway rat). Lineage: Eukaryota; Metazoa; Chordata; Mammalia; Rodentia; Muridae. The record is from RNAcentral.
UUGUGAAUUUUUAUUUGUCCA